CCAAAGAAGAAGAAGUACAGGAAAUUGAGAAGAAUCUUGUUAAAAUUUGCGCAAGACAGGGACUUGAAGUUGUGCUUGAGGGGAUCAAGGAAAUGCAGGAAGACCUUGAACAAGUCCAACGUCAUCUUUGUGCCUUGCAAGAGGA
Long non-coding RNA from Quercus lobata, 145 nucleotides. RefSeq lists it as uncharacterized. The transcript has 4 exons. Lineage: Eukaryota; Viridiplantae; Streptophyta; Magnoliopsida; Fagales; Fagaceae. The record is from RefSeq and is a predicted model, not a curated record.